Molecule: unclassified non-coding RNA, 3418 nt
Filed under: Exaiptasia diaphana
Lineage: Eukaryota; Metazoa; Cnidaria; Anthozoa; Actiniaria; Aiptasiidae
Description: lactadherin-like, transcript variant X2
Source: RNAcentral
AUUCCUUUCCAAAAUUUCUAGUUAUCGACACGGAAUCAGAUAUUGAUGGUGAAUUCGACCGAAAUGCUGACAGAAUUUUUUAUUAUUGCAUCGUUUCAACUAAUGCUUAUAGCUGAAGCUUCGGUGAAGUCGCCAUGUUCGUCUACAUUUACCCUGAAUUCCUUCGUGCUUAAGAAUCACGUGGUUCAAGAGUUUCAAUCACAGACCCGAAGCUAUUGCGAGAAGAAAUGUGCAUCGCAUAAUGAAUGCUACAGCAUUAACUUCUACCCUAAACAUCACAAGUGCGAACUCAGCAAAGAAAACCACUUUACAAGUCCCAUUGACCUUACCCAUGAUUCAGAUGGAGUGUACAGUCACGUGAUCAACCAUCAACGUCCAAUGAACGCUUGUAGUGACCAAUACUGCAGUACGAACCAUGCUUGCUUGGCAAAGGAUGAUGGGAAGGACUACGAAUGCAAAGUUUGCACCACGCCACUCGGUAUGCAAUCAAAUGCAAUUCCCAACUCAGCAAUCAAUGCAUCCUCCACGGCAUCAAAUUCACAUGCCAGCGGGAAUGCUCGUCUCCAUAAAAAGGAAUCGAUAAACCCUGACGGAAGUCGAAAUCAUGGAGCAUGGUGUCCUGCAGUCANACAAGCUGGUGAAUACUUACAGAUNGAUAUGGGUCGACCUGUGAUGUUAAAGCAAGUUGCAACCCAAGGAAGGCCCUCUUCCAGUUAUGNUCACUAUGUCAAGAAAUAUCGUUUGUCCUACAAGCGGUUGGAAACACAGUGGAUGGACUAUCGUGAAAAUGGAAUUAUUAAGGUAUUUGAUGGGAAUACCGACAGCAACACUGUUGUCACCAAUACGCUUAAAGAAAAGGUUGUGGCCCAACUCGUCAGGAUCAUUGGUAUGGAAUGGNACCGGUUUAUUUGCUUGAGAGUAGAAAUCUACGGUUGCUGACUGGAAUAUAAUGCCUUCUAUGCACAUUAGAUUANUGAAAGUUUAAGCAUUACCUUUACGGCCAACGUCUGACGGCAUAGCUAAACGAAUGACUUGAGAAUUUCGUGCCUGGCCCUGAGCUUUUGGUAGUUAUUUGAAAGAGCGACUUUUCANGAUUAUGGCAACCCAAAAUAACCCACUCUCGCGUUGAAACUGUAACGGUAAACCCCAAAAAAGCAGAUUACAUGAUCUUUUCUGCCGUUUGCCAUGAAAGUCAUGCUUUUAAGCAAAAAAAAAAGCUCUCUUAUUCCACUUAUUCACUCGAAACGUCAGUCCACCAUAGAAAUUGUGAGAAAGUUAAAGAAAAUUUAGUGUUUUGAGUGAUAAAAAAAGAAUGAACAAAAAAUCAAAAAAUCUUAUGAAGUGUUUGGAUAUAUCUUGUAUAUAUGACUUUGUUGCACAGGGCUUUUGGAUCUUCUGUUGUGUAAAAAGAAAUGGAUUAUCGUCCGAAUUGUCAGUAGACCUCUUAGCAAGUUGUUUCACCUAGUUUUCAGGGUCCGUGCAGAGUAUCAAAACCGAAAUUUAAGGAAUUUGUAUUUUCAAGGAAAAUUAUAAAUAUGCUAAUUGUACAUAUUUAUACCUCACAACUUCAGCCGAACGGAAUAAUUCAGAGAACGCUAGCACUUCGUGAUGGAGAUUUAUCUUUUUCAAGGAGUUUUCAAGGACGUUUUCGAAAUUUUCAAGGAGUUUCAAGUGCCCUUGAAAACGAGUUUUCUGUCCAAGUAAUUUUAAAGGAUUUUUUCCUUAAAAGGACCUGCACGGACCCUGAUUUUUUACGGUGUUUUAAAAAUUUGUCUUUUUUCAGCACUUUUUCUUUGGAAACACCGACGCAGCUCACACUAGUUUACCGCUCGUUUCCACAGUUUUGGAUCAUUGUUUCCAUUUUUCGAGAGGUUUGAAUGCCUUGAUGUGCAGUUCCAGAAUCCCUUGCAUGCCAACUGCAUUACAAUAAUGAAUGAUAAAGUUAAUGAAUACGAUAAAAAAUUGGCAGAUUUUCUUAAACACACAUCCAGGAAAACUUAAAGAGUCUUCCGUAUGACUGAAACAAUCGAAACAAAAAUACCAAUAAAGANUCAUCAUUCAUUACAAUAUAUAGUGCAGNGCUCAACCAUUGCUCGUUUUCAAUCAUUCUCAUGAGGUUANAAAUAUAAAANACCGGCGGCCAUGUUGGUUGAAUAUAUAUAUUUAGCGUAUAUUGCGAUUGCGUGCAUAUACUCUAAUGACACUCGCCUUCGGCUCGAAUUUUUAUACCUGANAGUGCACUCUCUCAGGUGUUUUAAAGUGAAANUGAACACUUCUAGAAAGUCAUUUCAUUCGAAAGAGAANAUUCUGCUAAGCACUUCUGCAAAGGGAAAAAACAUUCAAAUUUAUAUCUUCUGAUUUAGAAAUAUUUGAAAAUCGUGAGGCACGUCUACUAAGGAAUGAUUCAAUAUGCAAAAUCACGAAAAAAAGACAUUACUCGUUUUUUAUAUCGGAGAUGCCAUCGACAUUUCGACAUUUCCAGCUCUUGAAUAUCACUGUUAUUGAUGAUUUGACCGUUUCAACCGAACACAAGAUAUCGCAAACAAUGAAAAACCUCCAGCNCAAUCCCUUGAUUGACGUCACUUCAUUAGCAUUUUCAAUUUUCAAAUGCCNUUAACUCAGCAAAUAGAAUUCAAACAACUUUUUUUUCUUCAAGACAAUGAUUAGCAUCAAAUUUGCCUUUUUUUAAAAUGAUUUUCUAAAAGGGUUCAGUUAUCUUUAAACUAUAUUUGCAAUACAUAUCAAAACAUUUGUGAAUGAAACCUUUUGUCCUAAAGUGUUCCGACUGAGUCUCAGCAAUAUUUGGCUUAAGCGCAGUCCAGGUGUUUAUAGCAAUUAAGGCCGGCAUUAGCUCUAACGCGCGAGAGAGAUUUUAUUUCCUCUUGACUUCUAAAGCUUUUCAAGAUGAAAUAAGCCUCUAAAGGAUGAAGAAGCAUUGCAUGUGAUAAAUGUCCUAUAAUGCGAUGAUUAAAGUAGUAACAUUAAAAUUAAAAUUAUAAAAAAUGCAUAAUUUUUCUGGCUUUGUUGUGAAUCCUGGUGCUCUUAGUACAAUUAAUUAAAAGCAUUACCAUUAUCUUUCAUAAGUUACCAUAGUAAAACAAGUGGAUGUCGAUUUUCUCACAAGAUACGAGUUUGUUCGCAUCUUUGACAUCUUGAAGAUUUAAUCUGAAGCUAUUGACCCAGAAUCAGAAAUUGAUGCUGAAUUCGCCCNAAAUGCUGAUAGAAAUNUUGAUUAUUGCGGNGUUUCAACUGAUGCUUAAAGCNGAAGCUUCUGUACAAUCGCCAUGUUCGUCUACAUUUNCCCAGAAUUCCUUCGUGCUUAAAAAUCACGUGAUUCAAGAGCUGCAAUCACAGACCCNAAGCUAUUGCGAGNAGAAAUGUGCAUCGCAUAAUGAAUGCUNCAGUAUNAAUUUCUACC